GAUGAACGCUGGCGGCGUGCCUAAUACAUGCAAGUCGAGCGAACGGACGAGAAGCUUGCUUUUCUGAUGUUAGCGGCGGACGGGUGAGUAACACGUGGAUAACCUACCUAUAAGACUGGGAUAACUUCGGGAAACCGGAGCUAAUACCGGAUAAUAUUUUGAACCGCAUGGUUCAUAAGUGAAAGACGGUCUUGCUGUCACUUAUAGAUGGAUCCGCGCUGCAUUAGCUAGUUGGUAAGGUAACGGCUUACCAAGGCAACGAUGCAUAGCCGACCUGAGAGGGUGAUCGGCCACACUGGAACUGAGACACGGUCCAGACUCCUACGGGAGGCAGCAGUAGGGAAUCUUCCGCAAUGGGCGAAAGCCUGACGGAGCAACGCCGCGUGAGUGAUGAAGGUCUUCGGAUCGUAAAACUCUGUUAUUAGGGAAGAACAUAUGUGUAAGUAACUGUGCACAUCUUGACGGUACCUGAUCAGAAAGCCACGGCUAACUACGUG
This 497-nucleotide ribosomal RNA is filed under the name uncultured bacterium. RNAcentral's name for it is "partial 16S ribosomal RNA". It matches the Rfam family "Bacterial small subunit ribosomal RNA", at positions 28 to 507 of the family's 1533-position model. The record is from RNAcentral.